AUUGAACGCUGGCGGCAGGAACACAUGCAAGUCGAGCGGAAACGACUUAACUGAACCUUCGGGGAACGUUAAGGGCGUCGAGCGGCGGACGGGUGAGUAAUGCCUAGGAAAUUGCCCUGAUGUGGGGGAUAACCAUUGGAAACGAUGGCUAAUACCGCAUGAUGCCUACGGGCCAAAGAGGGGGACCUUCGGGCCUCUCGCGUCAGGAUAUGCCUAGGUGGGAUUAGCUAGUUGGUGAGGUAAUGGCUCACCAAGGCGACGAUCCCUAGCUGGUCUGAGAGGAUGAUCAGCCACACUGGAACUGAGACACGGUCCAGACUCCUACGGGAGGCAGCAGUGGGGAAUAUUGCACAAUGGGCGCAAGCCUGAUGCAGCCAUGCCGCGUGUGUGAAGAAGGCCUUCGGGUUGUAAAGCACUUUCAGUCGUGAGGAAGGUGGUGUAGUUAAUAGCUGCAUUACUUGACGUUAGCGACAGAAGAAGCACCGGCUAACUCCGUGCCAGCAGCCGCGGUAAUACGGAGGGUGCGAGCGUUAAUCGGAAUUACUGGGCGUAAAGCGCAUGCAGGUGGUUUGUUAAGUCAGAUGUGAAAGCCCGGGGCUCAACCUCGGAAUAGCAUUUGAAACUGGCAGACUAGAGUACUGUAGAGGGGGGUAGAAUUUCAGGUGUAGCGGUGAAAUGCGUAGAGAUCUGAAGGAAUACCGGUGGCGAAGGCGGCCCCCUGGACAGAUACUGACACUCAGAUGCGAAAGGGGAGCAAACAGGAUUAGAUACCCUGGUA
RNAcentral lists this ribosomal RNA (778 nucleotides) under uncultured Vibrio sp. Its description in RNAcentral is "bacterial SSU rRNA". It matches the Rfam family "Bacterial small subunit ribosomal RNA", at positions 28 to 792 of the family's 1533-position model. Lineage: Bacteria; Pseudomonadati; Pseudomonadota; Gammaproteobacteria; Vibrionales; Vibrionaceae. The record is from RNAcentral.